This 611-nucleotide ribosomal RNA is filed under the name Spermophagus coronatus. RNAcentral describes it as "SSU rRNA". It matches the Rfam family "Eukaryotic small subunit ribosomal RNA", at positions 32 to 620 of the family's 1831-position model. The record is from RNAcentral. Lineage: Eukaryota; Metazoa; Arthropoda; Insecta; Coleoptera; Chrysomelidae.
UUGUCUCAAAGAUUAAGCCAUGCAUGUCUCAGUACAAGCCAAAUUAAGGUGAAACCGCGAAAGGCUCAUUAAAUCAGUUAUGGUUCCUUAGAUCGUACCCACAUUUACUUGGAUAACUGUGGUAAUUCUAGAGCUAAUACAUGCAAACAGAGGUCCGACCGGAGACGGAAGGAGCGCUUUUAUUAGAUCAAAACCAAUCGGUGGCGGGUUCGCGCUCGUCAUCGUACAAUUUGGUGACUCUGAAUAACUUUACGCUGAUCGCAUGGUCUCGCACCGGCGACGCAUCUUUCAAAUGUCUGCCUUAUCAACUGUCGAUGGUAGGUUCUGCGCCUACCAUGGUUGUAACGGGUAACGGGGAAUCAGGGUUCGAUUCCGGAGAGGGAGCCUGAGAAACGGCUACCACAUCCAAGGAAGGCAGCAGGCGCGCAAAUUACCCACUCCCGGCACGGGGAGGUAGUGACGAAAAAUAACGAUACGGGACUCUUCCGAGGCCCCGUAAUCGGAAUGAGUACACUCUAAACCCUUUAACGAGGAUCAAUUGGAGGGCAAGUCUGGUGCCAGCAGCCGCGGUAAUUCCAGCUCCAAUAGCGUAUAUUAAAGUUGUUGCGGUU